UUACCUCAGUAACGGCGAGUGAAGCGGUAAUAGCUCAAAUUUGAAAUCUGGCUCUUUUAGGGUCCGAGUUGUAAUUUGUAGAAGAUGCUUUGGGCGUGGCUCCGGUCUAAGUUCCUUGGAACAGGACGUCAUAGAGGGUGAGAAUCCCGUAUGUGACUGGUAGCUUUCGCCCGUGUAAAGCUCUUUCGACGAGUCGAGUUGUUUGGGAAUGCAGCUCAAAAUGGGUGGUAAAUUUCAUCUAAAGCUAAAUAUUGGCCAGAGACCGAUAGCGCACAAGUAGAGUGAUCGAAAGAUGAAAAGCACUUUGGAAAGAGAGUUAAACAGUACGUGAAAUUGUUGAAAGGGAAAGCGCUUGCAACCAGACUCGUAGGCCGUCGAUCAUCCGGGGUUCUCCCCGGUGCACUCGGCGGUCUUCGGGCCAGCAUCGGUUUGGGUGGUGGGAUAAAGGCCUUGGGAAUGUAGCUUCUUUCGGGGAGUGUUAUAGCCCUCGGUGCAAUGCCGCCUACCUGGACCGAGGACCGCGCUUCGGCUAGGAUGCUGGCGUAAUGGUUGUAAGCGACCCGUCUUGAAACACGGACCAAGGAGUCUAACAUCUAUGCGAGUAUUUGGGUGUUAAACCCAUAUGCGUAAUGAAAGUGAACGGAGGUGAGAACCCUUAAGGGUGCAUCAUCGACCGAUCCUGAUGUCUUCGGAUGGAUUUGAGUAAGAGCAUAGCUGUUGGGACCCGAAAGAUGGUGAACUAUGCCUAAAUAGGGUGAAGCCAGAGGAAACUCUGGUGGAGGCUCGCAGCGGUUCUGACGUGCAAAUCGAUCGUCAAAUUUGGGUAUAGGGGGCGAAAGACUAAUCGAACCCAUUGGAAUAACUACUAGGUGGGUUAAGAGGGCGUGAAGCCCUAGUCCCUUUUGCCGGGGCGACAUUGUCAAAUUGUUUCGGGGGACCUCCCAUUUAAUAUUCUAGGCUACCGCAGCCCGACCGAAAGGCGGGGUGCGCACCCGGGGUUAACGAACCUGGGGACGGUAGAACGCCUAGGUAGGGACAAUCCGCAGCUAACUCCUAACGGCAUCACCGCCUACGGAAGAAGUUCACAGACUCGACGGCAGUGGGCCUCCGGGCUUAAGAUAGAGUCGAACCACCGGGAGACCGGAGAAGUGGUUCAGGUAUAAGGGGGGCUACCCGCGAGGGUCCCUUGUGCUGAUGCCGCUUUAGGGUGUAAUAGUAAAUUAUACC
This 1227-nucleotide ribosomal RNA is filed under the name Lachnellula fuckelii. RNAcentral describes it as "LSU rRNA". It matches the Rfam family "Eukaryotic large subunit ribosomal RNA", at positions 75 to 1473 of the family's 3401-position model. Lineage: Eukaryota; Fungi; Ascomycota; Leotiomycetes; Helotiales; Lachnaceae. The record is from RNAcentral.